GCUUCGGUAGUGCAACGGUUUGAGCACGCGCCACCUGCAAAGAUGAGGUGUGGGUUCAAGCCUCAACUGACGCA
Molecule: non-coding RNA, 74 nt
Organism: Parelaphostrongylus tenuis
Lineage: Eukaryota; Metazoa; Nematoda; Chromadorea; Rhabditida; Metastrongylidae
Source: the annotation of a GenBank genome assembly